GUAGGUGGCAAGCGUUGUCCGGAAUUAUUGGGCGUAAAGCGCGCGCAGGUGGUUCUUUAAGUCUGAUGUGAAAGCCCCCGGCUCAACCGGGGAGGGUCAUUGGAAACUGGGGAACUUGAGUGCAGGAGAGGAAAGUGGAAUUCCACGUGUAGCGGUGAAAUGCGUAGAUAUGUGGAGGAACACCAGUGGCGAAGGCGACUUUCUGGCCUGUAACUGACACUGAGGCGCGGAAGCGUGGGGAGCAAACAGGGAUUAGAUACCCUGGUAGUCCACGCCGUAAACGAUGAGUGCUAAGUGUUGGGGGGGUUUCCCGCCCCUCAGUGCUGCAGCUAACGCAUUAAGCACUCCGCCUGGGGAGUACGGUCGCAAGACUG
Molecule: ribosomal RNA, 374 nt
Filed under: uncultured organism
Description: partial 16S ribosomal RNA
Rfam family: Bacterial small subunit ribosomal RNA
Source: RNAcentral